Molecule: long non-coding RNA, 11269 nt
Filed under: Populus tremula
Lineage: Eukaryota; Viridiplantae; Streptophyta; Magnoliopsida; Malpighiales; Salicaceae
Description: long non-coding RNA (PTRE_LNC000758)
Source: RNAcentral
CAGAACCAAUUUAUGGAGAAGGAAAGGAUGCAGGAGAUGAGGCAGGUUACGUGGUAGGGAUGUCCACCUGUUAUCCUGAACCAGGCUCUAUCCAGAUAACAGCUGGGGAGAAUCUAGUUCUUGAAUCUUACUACAGCAGUACUCAAAAGCACACGGGAGUUAUGGGGAUUUUCUACAUUUUGGUUGCUGAGCGAACACCAAAUCCCACGAAUUUCUUGCAUUCUCCGAUUCAUGUAAGUUCUAGUUCGAUUUUUAAAGGUUACCGUUAGUAUUUUAUGAAGCUUGAAUGUUUCUCGGUUCUUGCAGACACAUGAAAAGAUGAAAGUAUCCUCAUCUGCUUUAGCAAUAGUAGCUCUGUUAGGACUGGCAGUAGUUGCUGUUGGCCUGCGUUAUCGACUGAAGAAGGGGAGAGAAGAAGGCUAUCAACCAAUAAUGGCAUAGAGCUGUAAUCCUGUUAAUUUCCAUGAUCUUUGUAAUGCAUCUAUAUAUAUAUAUAUAUAUAUAUAUGAAACAUGCCUUGUUUGCUCUAUAAAUGGAUGCAAAAAUGUCCAACUACAUAUAGCAACCAUACCAAUGGAACUCAUACUCUUCUCUAGUGGAGCCACAGAGAUCCAUACAUCAAUAAUUUGUCUGAGUAAUUGGAAAUUAUUCCUACUGCCAUAGCUUCCAAGCACUCUUGUUAGGCUUUCAGCUAUCAAGUCUGAAAAGCAUUGAAAUUUUGAGCCAUCUGAUCCAUUUAACAAAUAACAAAAAGCACGUGUUUACGAAGACGGACUUUAAAAGCUGAAAACUGUACAUGAAGAGGCCUUGCAUGUACACAGAGGAAUGCAAUCUAUCGUAAAGAGAAAAGAAAGAAAAAAGAAACAGAUGAAUGCAAUCAUAGUCCAGGUUCAGUUCGUUUACAGAAAACCAUUUUUACAGGUUCUAUCUUGCACUAGCAUUAAACGUUAACCCAAAUCUGGCCAGCAGGUCGACUCACCCCUACCUCUGGUUGGGUGUUAAAAAAAUCAAUUUUAAAUUGAUUUGAUGUAACCUGGUUAACAUGAUAGUAAACCCCAAUCAGACUUUUAUUUUCUGAAAAAAUUAUUCAUGUAAGUCAAUAUAUUGAAUUCAUGACUCGAAUUUUAUUUGGAUCGACUUGAAUUAAAUUUAAGGCCUGUUUAAAAUUGUUGUGGCGGUGACGGUUCAAAGUAUUUUUCAUUUAUAGAUAUAUCAAAAUGAAGUUUUUUUAUUUUUUUUUAAUUAUUUUUAACAUCAACAAAUCAAAAUGAUCUGAAAAUAAUUUUUUUAAAAAAAUUAUUUUAAACAAAUAAAAAUUAAAAUUUUUAAAAAUACAGUUUACAUCGUUCUCAUCUUAUUGUAUUUAAUCCCGUUUGUUUUUGUAAUUCAAUGAGCGCCUAAAUACAAAUGGAAAGAACUAGAACAUCUAAAAGAUCCGACUUUUAAAAUGGAGCUUCAGUGAUCAUAUGAGGAGUGAUGUUCAUGUUGUGAACAGUGAAACUCCUAAGUUUUCUCUUUCGCCCUUUUAAACUUAUUUUUGUUCAAUUUAGUUCAUUCUAGUUUAAUUUGAUGAAAUUAACCAGUUUGAAAUUAUAAUAGAUCUAUACAAUUAUAAGAUAAAUAAUUGAAAUAUAAGACACGAAGAUAAUAUAUGUCUAAUUUAAAACUUUGCAAUUUUUAUUUUGUUUUUAGAGUUAUUUUUUUAAUUUUUUCGAUUAUCAAAAAGAGAGAGUGACUCGUUAAAAAAUAAAAAUAGAGAAAAAAUGUAUUUAACUAUCACGAUUUUUACAACCACGAUGAUAGUGGUUAUUUUUAGUUCUUGUCAUGCAAAAAAUAAAAUAAAAAAAGAUUUGUAAUCUCAGCUUGAUAUUUGUGUUCUAACCUAUUUUUUGCUGCUUUUAAGAAAAUAGAGGAGUUUAUAAGAUUUGUUAAAUGUUUGCCAUCUGUUUUCAUGUAAAUUAGUUGAAAUAGGUUGAUUGGUUAAAAAAAUCAAGAUUGAUUUGCUGCUUAGUUUUUAACCACUUUGACUGCUGAAAACUAGACAUGUCAUUCGCUUUUUUAUUAAAAGGAAAAAUAAAGGAAGGUCGGGUGCAUGAGCCUUCACUGCUACCGGGAGCAAUACUAGUCUUGACUCCUGACCCUUUAAUGUAUUUUUUUUCCUUGUUUUUUCUGGCACUAAAAAAACUACUUUUCUAUUUCACUUACUCUUUACAUGUUAUUAAAUAAUAUUAUAAAAUCUUAUUUUUAUUUUAAUAAAUAUUCUUCAAUUGCUAUGUAUAUGAUAAUGAAAAUAAUAAUAAUAAUAAUAAUAAUAAUUUUUUGGCUCAUGAAAAUUUAAUUCAAAUCAUUUUUUAAAUAAAUUUUAAACAUGAUUUUACAUUUUUAAAAAAUUACACGACAUAUUUUUAUAUCUUCCAAUUCAAUAUUUGAUUUAGAUCAUCAUAUUUGUUUUUUUUUUGGAGGGCAGGGAUUCACCCUCCGUGUAAUUACGUGCAAAUCCGUUCCUCUAAUUAAAACCCCAAAAGGCGCAAAUAAGGGCAUGUUAAUUUUUAAGGAGGGGAAAAAUCCUACAAGUGCGGAGUAGGGAUUUAUAAUUCUUUUAAAAAUAUAAUUGAAGUUAUUUUUUAAAAUAUUUUUAUUUAAAAAUAUAUUAAAAUAAUAUUUUUUUUAUUUUUUAAAAAUUAUUUUUAAUAUAACCACAUUAAAAUAAUCUAAAAAUACCAAAAUAAUAUUAAUUUAAAAAAAUAAAAAAUAAUUUUUUUUAAAAAAAAAUAUUUUAAAAUAUAAAAAUACACAGGCUUAAACCCAUGAAAGUGCGAGGGAUGGGACCAACAUAAAAUUCCUAAUCUUAGAUCUAGGGCAUGCAAAGCAGGCAAAUAAAACUCUUUUGAGCUGCACAAAAAAAGAGACUACGACAGGUAGAUAAAGGGUUCAAGCUUUGCAAGCAGCAUCAUUUCCAACUCCAGCUCUUUGAAGCUGGACCACCAUGCGAUGCGAGUACCCAUUUGCCAUGAGAAUAUAUUAGUUAAGAUCCAUUCCCAAAGAAACAUGUCUUUUGAGGAAUGGCUCUUGACUGUGAAACUUGGUUUUUUUAAGUGGCUUGGUUGGGCUUACAAUAGCGCUCCCUGGGCGGCUAAUUGCACACUCUGUUUUUAUUUGUAUUUGUAUGCUGAGGCUUUCUGGAUUUGAUUUUCGGAUGGCUUUUUGCGGAAUGGCUCUUGACUGUGAAGCUUUGUUUAUUAGGUGGCUUGGCUUGGCUUGGCUUGGCUUAAGAGGGUCUUUAUAGUUCUUCUUUAAAUGACUGGUCUGCUUGCAUUUCUCUGUGUUGGCACGCUUUCUUUUUCAGGAAUUAAGGUCCUGACAUGCAUUGGGAUGUCUCAGUUGAAGAGAAUAGGUUGGUUUCAGCAUGCUAAUGAAAGGAGAGAUGGAGUGCGGUUUUAAGCUGUUUUAGCUGCAGGCAUUCAAUGCACGUUAAGGCUGGCAUGUUGCUGCCAAGGUGCUGUACUGUUUUUUCUUGGGCGGGAAAUAUAGAGACAAAGUGAGAGAACUGAUUUGUUAAAAUCGUUUUCAAAAAAAAAAGGUCAUAAUGCUUUGAGCCCUGCUUUUGGGUGUACUGGCUCAUCACUUUUCUCGGGUGUUCUGCUAGGAUAGAGGUGAGUUUUUUGAGAUCAUUCUAUCCUCUUCCUGAGCUUUGGUUUUCAAUCAAUUUGGGUUUGAAAGUUUUAAACUUGGUACAGAGAGGGUUGUUUACACAUCUCAAUGCUUAUUUCCAGCCUUUUCCUUUUAAAUUAUGGUCAAUCACAUGUGAAAGCCAAAUUUGUUCAUUGUCCUUCUACUGCACUUUUAACAUUUAGCUCCUUUUAGUUAUCUUUAAUUUUUUAAUAAUGCAUGUUGCUUUUUCCUUUGUGAUCCUUCUCUGCAUUUUGAUUCCUUUUGACUAUUGACUUUGCUUUCCGCUUUCAAGGUAAGUUUGAAAAAUAACUUUUCCUAUUUUCUUUUAAGAGGCUAUGUUUUGAUACUCAAAUCCAAAGGAUUUUACAUGUUUUUAGUCAAAUGGGUUGAGUUGUCUUUGCUUUUGUUGAACGAUCAUUUGUAGCAUUGUCAUUGCCCAUUUUUUUGUUAGUAUCGUAGUUAAAGUUUAGUUUGUGCUGUUCCCUGCUAAAAAGUCCUUCUUGGACUGGUGUAAUAGGUUGUUUGAGGUGAGACAUUUGAGGUUGAUUGAUGCUUGAGAUACGGGAAAAACAGUCUGUUUGUGGUUUUUUCAUCUGGAUUUUAGGUGCUAAUUAGGCUGAUAAGUUGAUUUAUGCAUCUGAAAAUGUUUCUUUUACAGGUUGCUUUAUCCUUCAUAGGCCUUCUUAGAAUCUUUAAUCGUGUAGGCUAUUGGCUUUGCUAUCCACUUUCAAGGUAUGUUUGACAGGGUAUUUUCAUGUCUUCUUUUUUUAUUAGGCAUUGUUCUGGUUCUUAGUUGUUUUGUUCAUUCUUUCAAGCUAUUUCCUAUUAAAUUUGUUUAAAUAUCGUUGUUGUUGUAGAAGGAGCUUAAGUUGAAUUAGUCAAUGCUCAUUCUUUGUUUGCAUGUUAGCUUAAGAUUGGGGUGUUGUUCUGCUUUGCUGGAAAAUAUAUGCUUGGUGAUAUGUAUUUUUUAAAAAGGAGCUGUUUGAACUCAUGUUAGAGGUUAUUUUAAGAGAUAUAUUCUGGAAUGAAAGAUACUUAAGAAUAAGAAAUAACAGUAUGUUGAAGAUUUUUUCAUUUGGGUGUUAGCUGCUAGGCUGACUGAUGAAAUGAUUCAGACAAUCAAGGUUAUUAUUUCUACACUUAAAAAAAGGGAAUUAGAUUGUUUAUUGGUUUGACAUGGUCAUUUAAGGUGCUGCAUGUCGAAUUAAGAAUUUGUGACAUGAUGUGAAUUGUUUCUCCAGCUUGGAUCCAUGUAGAAGUUGCAUAGAGUCGGGGAGUUUGUUCCUGGGUCAUCGCCUCCUUUCUGCAAAAAACAAAUCAUAGAUUUUCACUAUAGUUUUGUUGAGGAAAUCACAACAGAUAGUACAGACCUAUUACAGCCGUUAGUUUCAUUUCCUUUCUUUUCGAUUGAUAAAAUCGUUGCUUUUGCCUCCAUUUCAGUACCUGUUAAGGAACCAUUGGUGGUCUCUCAACAUCAUAUAGAAACUUAGGUUGUUGUUCCAUCUUACACAGUAAAGGGCAUGACAGUUUGAGUUAUUUGUAGCUCUUUUAAUUCCUUUUUUGUCACCUGCUUUGCUGCAUUUUACCCUUACAAUUGUUGAAGGUGUGGCUGGCACACAUUGCACUCCCUUCCCCUGUUUUUUUAUGCCAGCAGCAAUUUUUUUGGCGAUAAAAUCUCCCAUCUUUUCUAGGACCAUUAAACAUUUUCAUGCUUCAUUUUCCUUGCUCUCUUUAGUUUGUUUAGGUUGCUGCUAUUUUGACAGCUUUACGUAUAUGUUAUUUGGCUCUAGCUAUUCGUGCAUGACAGUCAAAUGUUGUCUGUAAUUUCUACCUGAGAAUGGAACAUUGCUAUCACAAACCCUCAAGUGCAAUUUAUAAUGUUUUGAUAUCCCCAUAUUGCUACAAGAGAUGAGAAAGCUGGUCUGCAGGCUCACUCGCUCAGGUCUGCAGAACCGCACCUUGAGUCUCUUUUGACCUACGCCUGGAGUUUACAGACCUUGCAGAGAUUAAAAAUGAAAAAAACAAUUAAUAACAUUUAUUAUUAUUGUUGUUAAUAAUUUUUUAAAAAAUAUUAUUAUCAUUAAUAAUUUUUUAAAAAAAUAUUAUUACUAUAAAAACUUGGACCAGAAAAAUUUAGUAUUAUUAUUAAUAUGAUAAAUAUUAUUAUUUGUAUUCUAAAUAUUAUUAUUUUUAUUAUAAUUAAUAUAAUAAUUAAUAAAUUUGUAAAAAAAUAUUAUUAAUAUUGAAAAACAAUAAUAGAUUUGAUUUGAAAGGUAAAAUUAAAAGUUAUUAUUAUUGUUAUUGUUAUUGUUAUUGUUAUUAUCAUUAGUACAUUUUUUUAAAAAAAGUUAUUAUUACCAUCAAAGAAAAACAAUAAAUUUUGUUUUAAGAGAUUAAAAAAUAUAAGAAUUUCGGCAAACAAGUUAAAUAUUAUUAUUAAAAUUAAAAUAAUUUUUUUUACUAUUGAAAAAAAUAUAGAUUUGAUUUUAAGGGUAAAAUAAUUUUAUUAUUAUUAUUAUUAUUAUUAUUAACUUGGAAUAGACAUCCUCUUCUAGAUCCAAGAAAAUUAGGGUCGGAAAGGGAUGUCUAACCCAAGUUACUUGGGUCCUACAACCCUGCCUGAUCUUGAUUAGGGGUUGCAAUUGUCAUACACUCUGGCAUCUAAACUGAUGCCAGAUCUGGAAUAACGUUUAUGGUUUAUCAAUUGUUUUUUUGAUAACGAAAAUUAAGAAUAAGAUUGCUAGUCAAGUAGGUGAUACAAUUUUCUGAAUCAUACAAUAGGUAGUAAUCCCCUGUAGGAUUUGGGGCUCAUAGUUUUGUCACUGGGGCUUAACAAUUGGUUGAGGUUAUGCUAGAGGACCGGGGGUUCAGCUAUUUACUACACAGCUAUUUACUACAGAUUUUGAAGCAUGAUAUUAACUGAAUUAAUUUUGUUUAAUUUUAUCCUGAUUAAUUUUUUAUCUAGGGUUUGGAUGACAAAAAAUGGGUCGUUUUCUCUUCUUUUUUUUGGUGAUUUCAGCCAAGUUCGAAGGCUGCAUUUUUUAGAUUCUUACAUGUCCUGGAAGAUAGACUUGACCUCUAUAAUUAAUUGGAGUCAUGUUGCAAUCAUUUGUUAGCCUAAGUUAAAUUGUUUUCUAAGUAGUUUGGUGGCUUCUAGAUGUCUGCUGUAUUUAUUCGAGGGAAAUAUGUGGCAGCAAUCUUUAUUCGAGGGAAAUAUGUGGCAGCAAUCAAGAAGCUUUACGUGUGGAUUUUCUUUUGAAGAUUGUAGUUGCUAUAUGGUAUGUUUGUAGGGCAUGAAGUGCUUAAGAAUGGGGAUAUAAGUUAGGAAAUGUUGUAUGUGUUUGCUUAAAACUUGCAAAGGCAGAACCAUUGUGCUUCUUUGGAGUGGAAAGAUGUCUUUGGUGGUACUUUGCUUAAUUUUUGUAUGAGUUUGCCUGAAAUUUGUUGGAAGCUUAAUCAAAUAAUAACUGUUUUUUAUUGUGUUUUCCAACACACACACACUAUCUAACCUUUAUGAUUUGUGUUUUCAAAUAAGCAUGAACUAAAAAGCAUAAAAACUCGACAUUCGGCUACUCUUAUAAUCCACAUAACAUGAAGGGGAAGUUGGCAGACACGUACCGAAAUCAUUGUUGAGCCAACACUUCCUCAAAGAUCAGCUAACGGUGAGUUGAUGAAUUUCACCUAUAAAAAUCUGUUAAGGACGCACGUUUUGGAUUUUGAAAGUAGAAAAACAGUAUAUCAGUGCUUUGAAAUGACACUUGAUGAUUGGGUGCAAUCUAAAAAAAAACAUAGAAUACAUAAUGUUAUAAAUUUUCAUCAUUAAAGAUAUUUAGAUGUAUUCUACCUAUAUAUCCCUCAAGAUUAUAGAAAAAUAAUUAAAGAAAUGGUGUCAUUUAUCCAUGAUUUACAUGGAUAUAGUGUGGAUGUUGCACAAAAGUAUUCAAUAAAAGUAAUAUUGUGUUUCUUAAUGGUGAUGUAAAGUUCUGGAAGAUUGAUUUUCAACUUGCGGCUACUAAAAAAGCAAAUGACAUAGAUUACCGGUUUUUGAGGAGACCUAUUUUUGAACUUUUGGAUGGUGAAACUACAUAAUUGCAAAAUUUAUUGUUGACAUGUCUUGUUUUCCUCUCGAGGAUCAUGGAUUUUUCAAGAAUUUUAUUCGUGAGAGUUUUGAGAACAACAAUCUAGCACUCUAGCUAUCACCUAUCAUAUUUUUUCAAAUCCCUGCUUCUUUUCUCAAGGCAUGACAAUAGGUGAUCUUCAUAACCCAACAUAAGUUGUUAUCACAACAAAAACUAGAAAUCCAAACUUGAAUUUAAUUGGUGAUCUGUGUGAAAAAUAGAUUUAUCUAGAAAGAAUAUUUAGAAAUAUUUCUCCUCAAAUAACAACGAUAUGUAAGAUAGCUUGCAAGUUGCAAUGUCAUUCAAGUUAUGAAUAUUGCUUCCAUUAAUUUUUUUUUACACUACUUUGCAUGAAUUCAAAGUAGAUAUUACUAAAGUUCAAAGAAUUAUCUCUCGAGAUAGAAGAAUAGAUUUGUAAAAAAUUUAAACCUAGUGCUAGAAUUUCUUGUCCAAAACUGUAAAGGGAUGUGUAAUACUCAGCAUAUCUAGCUGGUAAUCAUGUCUUUAAGUGUCCUAGCAAACUUUUUAAGAAUACUAUAAAAACGAAUAAGAGAUUCAAGGAACUCGUAAUGAAAAAAAUGAUAUGUAUCCUCACUUAUAUGUAAGAUACAAUUAUUGUUGUUAUAGGAUUCUCUUGUAAACAAAAUACAAGUAAUAUUCGAGAUUCCCCAACACUCUAUAUUUGUGAGAAAUUGGUGGUGGAAGAUGCAAUGGUUUGAAUUUAUGAUCUUGAAACGCCUCAUCAAGUGAUUAGAAAAUAUUUUUGAUCAGGUUUGAGAACAAGUAUUCGAGUUAUACAACAUCCUAAUAGAAACACUCUUUAGAAUUAGUCGCAUGCAAUUCUCUUUCUAUAGAGAUGAGAGAAGUUCAAUCAUAUUGAUUUUCAUGACGUAUAUGAAGAUAUAGUAAAGUCUGUGUAUAUUUUUUUAUGCAUGCAAUUGCAAUCUUAAUUAUGGUGAAAUAAGAGAUAUGAGGUUUAAAAUUUAUUUUAUAGUAAGGUCAAACAAACCAUUAAACAUAAAAAGGGCUAAUUAGUUUAUUAGUAACUAAGGGUGUUUGGUGCAUGUUAUGGUCUCUCUUAUUUUCCCACUCAACUUCUCUGGUGUUAUUUUUAUAAUCAAAUUCAUUUUAAUAAAACAUUACUUUCAAUUCUAGAUCAUGUUAGUUUUUAAUUUUAUUUUUAUAAUGCAGAACAUUGAUCUUUGAUGUUAUCUUGUUAGAUAAAUAUCAUUUCAAGCUACUAUGUAACUCUGUUCUUGCUAUUUCAUUAUUUUUCUCUACAACAUCGUUCAAUUUCAGUUUUGGGAUACUUGCUUCAUCAUUAGAUAAUUGCAAUAAGUACAGUUUCUCAAUGUAUUGCAUGGAACAUGAAAUUAAAGCCUAUGUCUUUUGUGUAAUGACCUAUAAUAAACUUGUCACAAGCAUUUUUUGUUGCAUGUAGCACAUUGAGAAACUAUACUUACUGCAAUUAUCUAAUGAUUAGGCAAGUGUCCAAAAACUGAAAUUGGAUGAUGUUGUAGAGCAAAAAAAUAAAAUAGCAGGAGCAAAGUUGAAGGGCAGCUUGAAAUGAUAUUUGUCUAACAAGGUAACGCAAAUGAUCAUUGUUCCGCAUUAUAAAAAUAAAAUUGAAAUCUAACAUAAUCUAGAAUUGAAGGUAAUGUUUUAUUAAAAUGAAUUUAACUACAAAAAUAACAUAAGAGAAGUUGAGUGGGAAAAUGAGAGAUUACAACAUGCACCAAACACUUUUAAAAUGAAUUUUAAACUCCAUUUCUCUCAUUUUACCAUAAUUAAGAUUGCAAUUGCAUGCAUAAAAAAUAUAUGCAAGUUUUACCAUACCUUCAUAUACGUCAUGAAAAUCAUUGAAGUGUAUGAUUCCAAAAAGUGUAUAUUAUGUUGUUAUAUAACUCAAAUAUUUGUUUUCAAACCUGGUUGAAAACAUUUUCUAAUCACUUGAUGAGUUACUUCAAAAUCAUAAAUUUGAACCCUUGCACCUUCCAUCAAUUUCUCACAAAUGUAGAGUGCUGGGGAAUCUCGGAUAUUACUUGUAUUCAACUUACAAGAGAAUCCCAUAAAAACCAUGGUUGUAUCUUGCAAAUAAGUGAGGCUGCUUAUCAUUUUUCACUAUGAGUUCCUUGAAUCUCUUAUUUGUCUCUAUGAAAUUCUUAAAAAGUUUUCUAUGACACUCAAAGACACUAUUACCGACUAGAUAUGUUGAGUAUUGUAGAUCCCUUUACAGUUCUUGAUCAAAAUUUCAGCACUAUGUUUAAUUUUUGUACGAUCUAUUCUUCUAUCUCGAGAGAUAAUUCUUUCAACUUCAGUAAUAUUUGUUUCAAACUCAUCGCAAACUAGGUUAAAAAAAAUUAAUGAAAAUAAUAUUCAUAACUUGAAUGACAUUGCAAGAUAUCUUAUUGAUCAUUGCUGUUAGAGGAGAAAUAUUUCUGAAUAUUAUACCUAGAUGAACCUAUUUUUCAUACAGCUCAACAAUUAGAUUCGAGUUUGGAUUUCUAGUUCUUGCUGCGAUAAUAACUUGUGUUGGGUUGUGAAGAUUAACUAUUUUUGUUCUCGGAGAAAAGAAACAGUGGUUUGAAAAAAUGUGAAGGGUGGUAGCUAGGUCAUUGUUCUCAAAACUCUCACGAAUAAAAUUCUUGAAAAAUCCAUGAUCCUCGAGAGGAAAACAUGACAUAUCAACAAUAAAUUUUGCUUUGGUUACCCUAUUGAGAAUCAUUCUCAUUACCGCAUUCCAUUUAGCAAAGUCUAAUUAUCCUCCCAUUUCUCUUUGUUUGUAUAUUAGGAGCGACAAAUAUAAUUCUUGUUUGGUUUAUUUCUUCUCCUAUGUAAUUGUUGAAACACAUAUUUACAUUCCUGGCAAGUGUUUAGAAAGUCCAAGAUAACAUGAGUUUGACAAACAUGUCCUCUAUGCUUGUAGGUGUUUAGAAAGUGUGUGUAAGAUAUCACUUGGCAAUGAUUUAGUUUAACCAUCCAAAAGUUCAAAAACAAGUCUCUCCAAAAACCAAAAAUCUGUGUCCUUUGCUUCCCUAAUAGCCGCAGGUUGAAAAUCAAUCUUCCAGAACUUUACAUCACCAUUAAGAGACAUAAUGUUACUUUUAUCGAAUACUUUUAGGCAACAUCCACUAUAUCUAUGUAAAUCAUGGAUAAAUGACACCAUUCCUUUAAUUAUUUUUCUAUAAUCUUGAGGGAUAUACAAGUAGAAUACAUCUAGAUAUCUUUAAGCUUGUGUGCUCACUUCAGGAAGGAUGUGUUAUAUGUACUUCAGAACCCAUUUAUGAAGAAGGAAAGGAUGCAGGAGAUGAGGCAGGUUACGUAGUAGGGAUGUCCACCUGUUAUCCUGAACCAGGCUCUAUCCAGAUAACAGCUGGGGAGAAUCUAGUUCUUGAAUCUUACUACAGCAGCACUCAAAAGCACACGGGAGUUAUAGGGAUUUUCUACAUUUUGGUUGCUGAGCGAACACCAAAUCCCAC